AUGGGGAUUCUCCAGGCAAGAAUACUGAAGUGUGGGUUUCCAUUUCCUUCUCCAGGGUACCUUCUCAACCCAGGGAUCGAACCCGCAACUUCCAUGUCUCCUGCAUUGCAGGCAGCAAAUUUGGACACUUCCGUGUCUCCUGCAUUGCAGGCAGCAAAUUUGGACGUCCGUAAUAAGAUAGAGGAAGUGAGCAUAGAUGCCAAUGACCACAUUUUCAGAGACCAAGACUGAUAUUGAAGGUGGUGUGUUUAAGAGAAGGUGUGUUUGCUCCGGGCAAUGAGGUAAGAGACUAAAAGAGUGAGGGUGGGGCCUUUCCUCCUUAGGUCUCAGGUGGAGCUUCUAGGUGGACAGCAAAAUCCUCCUUUCAUUUAUAAAUGGACUUUGUUUGCUCUGGCAGCAUCUGAGAGGAUAAAUAUGGGAUCCCACAGAAGCCAAAAUGUUAUUUUUGCCGUGUCUUUUCUCAUUAUAACUUCAAGUCUCUUCUUUCCCCACCUCCUCAACCUCUUUUUUUUUGGGGGGAGGGGAGGUUUGUUUUUCACAUAUGGAUGCAUGCAUGUGUAUGAUAUGUGUAAAUGAACACACACAUAGAGCUAGAAGUUCUAAAGAAGAACCCAAAGUGCAAAAGUAGACCCUUUAGAUAAUCUUUAUCUGACAUAAAGAUGUCUACAGCAUCACUUUUCUGACAUUUUCCCCCUAGGUAAGAUUGUCCCCAAAUGUGGUUCAAAUGUGGUCAGAUUCUAUCUUGCAAAAAUAUGAGACUCUGAAGAACAUACAAAUUAAAUAAUGACUAAGUGAUGUUAGUUAAAUAUACUUGUUUUAAAAGGCACUUGACAGCAAGAGUCAUUUUGGUAAUUCUAAGAGGCAUAUUAAUUUUUACCCUGAGAGAUAUCAGAAUGUAAUUAAUAUCUGGGUAAAGAAGUUUAUCCACAGUUAAAGUUUAAGGCAAAAUCCAAACUUAAUAAGACAUGUUGUAGGUAUUCUUCCCUGGUAAAGAGAGUAAUGUCACCUCCGCCUAGCCUCCCCCACCUCACUCUGCCAAAGUGUCUAUAUCUUUAUCCCUGCAAUACUGUGAACAUGUUGGGUUGCAAGGCAAAGGGGAAUUAAAUUGAUGGAUUUAAGAUUGUGAAUCAGCUGACCUUAAAAUAGGAUGAUUAUUUUAGAUUAUACAAAAAAGGUCUUAAUGACCCAGUUAACCAUGAUUGUGUGGUCACUCACCUAGAGCCAGAUAUCCUGGAGUAUGAAGUCAGGUGGGCCUUAGAAACA
Molecule: long non-coding RNA, 1263 nt
Filed under: Ovis aries (sheep)
Lineage: Eukaryota; Metazoa; Chordata; Mammalia; Artiodactyla; Bovidae
Description: lncRNA (ENSOARG00000026968.1)
Source: RNAcentral